UUGCUAUUAUAGAAUAUUGCUAUAAACUACUUCAAACUUAAAAGGUUGACUUAGGACAAAGCUAAUACAUUUUGUAGUCUUAAACGAAGCAUGACCAUGUUGAAGUUUACAUCUAGGUCUUGCAUAAAAGGAUGUAUAUAUGGGGUAUGGGCUAUGGCACACCCCAUAUGUCUCGUCCAUCACAACAAAAUCUACCUAAAUACGUGUUACACAUAAAUAGUACAUGUUACUCUAGAAAAACAUAAAUAGUAGAUAUGUGUUACUCCCUCCAAUCCCAUAGAAGGGCGCUAAAUUUCUCGCCUGUUUUCCACCCAAUCAGGGCGCCAAGAGGGAUGUGUCCCUAAACUGACAGAAGCACCCCUCCAUCCCAACUGCCGUCAUAUCUCCCUUAACAGAAGAGAAGAUGUAGUGGUGCAGUACGUGGCAGCAGCAAUGGGGACAGGUUGUAGAAGUUGUGUGAACAUUUUUAAAAUAUUACGGACAUUUUUGUGAAUGGUAUCAAUAUAUUUUUUAAAGUUGGAUGAAUUUUUUACACUCCACAGGCAGUUUUUUAACAUGCAAUGAACAUUUUUAAAAAUUAUGUAGAUUUAUUUUGGAAUAUAUGUAUUUAAAAUUUUGAAAUAUAAACAAAACUAAAAAUAAAAAUCUAACAAAAGUAACGAACUAAUCUUACUAUGCCUGCCCACUUGGCACUCCACUCAGACGAGGCAUGCCUAUCUUUCAGGCCCCGCUUGGACUGCCCUAAAAAAUUGAUCCUAAAAUUAGCUGUAAAACAUUGCUAAAAAAAGUUGUGUGCCCUGCCUCGGCAACGAGCGAUUGGUUCGUCAUUCCGACCCUUGAAUUUAUGGGAAAUUUUCUGGCUUAAACCCGAAAAAGUUCCGGUUUACAAAAUUUACGUUUCUUCCAAGCAAGUGAGGGGUCAGGUUUCAGGCUCGAGCGCAUGCAACUUCUCUUGCCGACCCCCUAAAAAUUAGUGGAGUAAACCGCGGAGCAAAUGUUAGUGGAGUAAUUGUACUCCAAAUUUUGGCUGCUUCUAGCCGUUCUCGUAAAUUAACAAAGUAAAACGCAAAUUCGGAUAUGAUGAACACAGAUUCAAUUCAAACAAACGUACUAACCAAAAUUCGACACCAAUUUAUGAAAUUUCACAUUGUCAUCAACCAACAAAAAAGUCAACUAAAUUAACUGAAUCUAAAACUUACUAAAAUCUAGUCACUAUACAUAUCUUCAGUGACCGAUUUCCACCCCACUCGGGAAAGCCUAUUGAUCAUGGGGUCAGGCCCUGUGUAGUCAUCGUCGUCGCCGAAGAUUCUUGUAAAUUCGGUCCUGAAGCAGUCAUCGUUUCCGCCUCCAUUCUCUCCUCCGCUUCCGUUGCCUCUGUUUCCGCCAUUAUCUUCGUCGUUGCUUGACAACAUGANNNNNNNNNNNNNNNNNNNNNNNNNNNNNNNNNNNNNNNNNNNNNNNNNNNNNNNNNNNNNNNNNNNNNNNNNNNNNNNNNNNNNNNNNNNNNNNNNNNNNNNNNNNNNNNNNNNNNNNNNNNNNNNNNNNNNNNNNNNNNNNNNNNNNNNNNNNNNNNNNNNNNNNNNNNNNNNNNNNNNNNNNNNNNNNNNNNNNNNNNNNNNNNNNNNNNNNNNNNNNNNNNNNNNNNNNNNNNNNNNNNNNNNNNNNNNNNNNNNNNNNNNNNNNNNNNNNNNNNNNNNNNNNNNNNNNNNNNNNNNNNCACCUGCUCUGGGUAGUGGCGGCGAAGCGCCGCCAUGUAUGCCUCAUCGGCGGCCUCCUCCACCAACUUUUCCCUUGCCUCUUGGUCCUUCCUCCUGUCCAGUGUGGAGACCACCCGCGGGUCGACGACAUCUAGCCGCAACAACUCACUAAACUCAAAGUUCCGGUGGCCAUCGGCGCCGUGUAGCCAAACAACCAAAUGUUGUAUUCCUGGUCGGCCUGCUCGGCGGAUUGGAAGGAUCUGAGCCAAAGCGUCGUGUGGGUGUGCCGGUUGGUGAUCUCGGCCACCCACUUCCCCAUCCCCGCUGCUGCAUGCCAAUGUGCGUCCUCUGUGGCGGCGGUGGUGCGGGGAGAUCGGGGAAGCCGGAGAGCCAGUUAUGGUAAGCGUAUGGGGCGCCGAUCAAGGAAGCGUCGUGGUAGCAGUGGGAGGCAGAUGCACUGACGCAGUGCUCGUGGCGGUGCAACCUGCGUUGAGGAUAGACUGCGGGGAGAGGCGGGUGCGGGAUCCGGCCAUGAUGGCGCGGGUGCGGGAGCGUUGCGGGGGUCGCCGAUGAGGGAUAGGGUGGGGAAGGAGGCAGACAGGCGUGUGUCUUUUACUCCGUGGCCGAGCGGAGGAGUAAGUUUAAGUGCUCGGCUUGGCGUGGAGUGAAGUAUUUACUCCAUUAUAGGAUUUCACUCUCGGUUAGAUCACAGUUAGAGGAGUAAAAACAUUUUUUUUUACUCUUUUAACCGAUUUUAGGGUGUCCGCUAGAGAUGCUCUUAGGUACACCGCUUCGUCCCUGAGGAAGAUGUAUCUCCCUGAUUUAAUCCAUUCAAAAGACAUAGGUCACGUAAGAUCCCUUUAAGUGUAGCAUUAUUCGGGGUUGGAGCGGGCGACGGGCGUGCUCGUGGCAGUUCCUGUGCGAGGAGAACCGCGUGUCGACGUCCAAUACACGGUCACUCGCCCAUUUUGUCAUCCAAUACACGGUCGGUCGGAAGGAAUGUAAAUAUGGCAUACUAGAUUAUGUGUACACAUGCGCUAUUCUAAGCCCAAGCAUUGAAAGGCUAAUAUGUGGCCCUUUUUUGUGGGUAAGGCCCUGGUUGAAGGCAUAGAAAAUGGGGUUGUCUAGAUGUGUCCAAGUUAUUGCACAUCUAAGUGACUUAAUCAAGUAUAAAAAGAAAAAGAAAAGGGAAAAAUAAAAUGCCGACAAGAAUCUCCUUGCAAGGUCAAUGCAUAGGACUUUGAUGUGCAAUACUUAUGGCACAUCUAGACGUGCUUUAGCAAAACUGAUAGAAAAUUUACCCUUGUACUAAAGCAGCGACAACUAAUAUGAAACAGCGGGAGUAGUAAAAAUUGGUAUAAUAUGUGUAGUAAUUCUUCGAACUACAUAUUUUCACUAAGUCACAAAUAUACUAUAUUGUUUCAAAAUUACUAUAUUUUGAACACAUUUAUACUGCAACUGGUACAUUGUUUUACUGAGCUGUGGAAUAUAAGCUAUUCACACUCAGCCACACAAUUUGUAUACUACAUGGUAGUUCAUAAUAUGUGAGUAUUUUUCCUAUAUAAACGUAGGGGCACAAUGUAUUUCUAUAUACAUGGAGCUCAGAAUAUCUUAUUUUUCCCUCUAGUGGAAACAACAUGCACGCACGCACAUAAACAAUAACAAAACUAUUUUUAUGAUAAGUUUAUUGUCAAGUUUUCAUGUGAAACAUGAAUAACUAAAAUUAUACAUCAAAGCACAAUGAGUAGAUAAACACAGGCAGUUAUUGUACCUUUUGUCUGCUAGGAAAUCUUUGAUCUUGUCGAUGAGUUGUUCUAUGCACCCUGCUUCGGUGCCAGGAUAGCUUGUACCGGUAAUUUCACUAAGGAUAGUUCUGAGGAUUUUCAUCAAGUCUGGAUUUUGUGACACCGAUAUGAAAGCUCGAUACUGAAAUUCCCCUUUGAGGUCUUGAUACACUUGGUUUGCAAGAGUUGUCUUCCCCAUCCCUCCAAAUCCAACAAUGGAGACUAUCUUCAGUUGUUGUUGUUGCCUUGGCACUUGUCCAUUUUCUUCGCCUAAUAGCUUGAUUAUCUCGGCUUUGGUUUCAUCAAUUCCAACGAGUUUUGAUGCAUGCUCGAAUCUAGCAAGAAUUCUAGGGUCUACAACUUCAUUUUUGGUGCUAGAGAAGGUUUGACGACCCUUGUACCUUGCAUUCCUGUCACCCACCUCUAUGAUGUGUUUCUUCAGAUCUUGGAUCUCCUUGCCGAUCCGAUGGCGAGCCUUCAUCUUCCCCAACUUCCCUAGUGAAUUUUUGAUCUUCUCGAUGAAGCCAUCUGGCUUUUCGUCUUUGUCACCGAUGCUUUGCAUGAAGUCAUCGAUGGCAUCCUCUAGGUCAUAGGACAGCUCCCGCACUUCAUUCAUCCAGACUUUAUCCUGCACAUCGGGAUCCUCGUCCUCGGACAUCUCGAGGAGAAAAGCCUCCAUUGCGGCGAGCUCAUUAGUGAGAGACUUGAUCUCCUUGCCAACUGUUUUGAAACGCUUGUACUUGUUGCCGAGCAGAACGGUCAGCUUCUGGAUGACAGGUUUGAGGACCCCUGUCGCCACGCUGACGAGAGCCGCCUCCAUGGCCACGCUAUCUUAGAGCUCGGCCAGUCAAAAAUGUGCGUGGAGGUCAGGUUGCUGAAUGCACUGACAGUAAACAGGUGGUACCAAUCGACAAGCUGAAAACAAGAGGAUGUAUUAGUUUAUUAUACACUGAACAGCUAGGUGCAAAUCGCUCAUGUGGACCCAAGUUAAGUCAUAUAGAGAUGGGUUCAUGCCUGAUUGCCGUGCAACUCAGAACCAGCUCGGUCGCUUUGUUCGCAGUGCAGGUCGAGCGCACUGACAGUGAAGUGUGGAUUUGAUUUAGCCACCGCGUCGUCGAUCUGAACCCUGAAAUAGAAUGGAUUUGCGGAGGUGAGACGAGCUACAGAGCGUCUCUAUGGCAGUCAAAAAUGUGCUGACAGUAAAUAGCUAGUUACAAAUCGACAAGGUGAAAAAGAGGAUGGGUUAGUAGACUGAACAUCCUGACCCUGAACCUGAAAAAGUGGUUUUCUGCAAACUUAGCUCCCAUGGAACUUGAAUUUUUAGUUGUGCACCUGAUCUGCCGUGCAACUCAGAGGUAGCUCGAAGUGUUGGCCAAGCGCACUGAUGGUGAAGAGUGGAUUGUUUCGUCUUCUCCGCCUCGUGGAUCUGGACCUGAAAGAGAACGGAUUGACGGGGGUGAGCCCGACCAUUGCUGCACCAAACAAGCUACACAGCGUGCCCAGUGCCGGCGCAGUCCAACGCACGGCGGCAUCGGAGGAGAUUGAAGCGGGGAGCGAGGGGACGGGGCGGUACCUCGCGUGGGACGAUGGAUCCGGUGGAGGAGUAAACUUGGCUUCGGCGGUCGCGAAAUAACCUAGGAGAGGAGAAGGGGGGCGUGGGAGCUCGGACGCCGGCGACAGAUCGGCGUGCCAGGUGAAGAGCGGAUUAUCUAUUUCCUCGGCGUCGUGGAUCUGCACGUGAAAGAGAAUGGAUUAACCAAGAUGAGCGCAACAGCCUCUGCACAGAACGAGCCACGGACCGACCGUGUGCCGGCGCCGGCGGCUUCAUACAAGGAGAUCGAAGCAGCGCACUCGUACCUAGCUAGCAGGAUGGAUCCGCCGCAGAGUGGCGGACUGGGGCGACCGUGAGGUAACCCCGGCGAGGAGAAGCUCUGACGCCGGCUACGAGUGCACCGCGAGACGCAGUGGGAGUGAGAAGAGGAGAUGGAUGAUCUGGUCACUGGUCACUCAUCACAACGCAUAAACAAGGACCAGCGUCGUUGUUGUAGUCUGGCCCAUCUCUCUGUUCCGUGGGCCCAAAGCCACGAGGCCUAACAGAGUUUGUCGCCUCUCUCAUGCACACACCUCCCUAGAGUUUGACAAUUUAGAGUCUUUCGAAGGUGCUCAUACGGGUAGGAUGUGCGUGUGUAUGUUUAUAAGGAUGAGUAUAUGUGCAUGCAUAUGAGCGCUUGCGUCUGUACUGUGUUCAAAAAAAUUUAUUGACAAGUAAACAAGAAAUUGCUACCCCUAAUUAACUUCAUGUGAAGCAACAAGUUUCUAGCUAGGUUUCUGGAGACGCGGUUGAUGUGUGUGGAUUACAGUACAUGAUAUGAGCUAUAGUGGUACUGGUUUACAGGGGAUACGUAUACCCGUGUCAGGUUGGAUCGUGCCUUAGCAUCUCCUGCUUGGAGUUUACUAUUUCCAGAUGGUGCGGUGCAGCACCUUACUUCUGCCUGUUCGGAUCAUAUACAUGGCGCUCUUGCUGAAUAUCAGAGAGGAGGCGCCCCAUGGUGCUCAACAGUCAACACAAACAUUUUCGGUAUGAAGUCAUUUGGUUUCACAAAUAUUGAUAUAUUUUUAUAAACUUGGUCAAACUUUAAAAUAGUUUGACCCUUUAAAAAAGUUGAAAGUACACUCCUUGAAGGACAGAGGGAGUAUAGGAGCACAUAGUAUUUAUUAGCUGGCCGAUAGAUCUAGACCUUUGGACCAAGGAGUAUUAUUGAGAGUUCACAUGGUUGGUUCUCACAUGCAUGGGCCAUGCGGGUAGAUACAUAUACUCCCUUCGUUCCUAUAUAUUUGUCUUUCUAGAGGUUUCAACAAGUGACUACAUACGAAGCAAAAUGAGUGAAUCUACGCUCUAAAAUAUGUCUAUAUACAUCCGUAUGUGGUAACCAUUUGAAAUCUCUGGAAAGACAAAUAUUUAGGAACGGAGGGAGUAAUUAAGAAGAACAUCGAUCGAUUAGCCAACCACCGGCCUGCAUGAACAGGUGAAUAAUUUUUUUGUACGGGAAAUUUUGUUGAUAAUUUUUGCAGGCACAAAAAGAGUUCAACUAGUUCACAUUAGAGAUGAGACACAUGCAAAACACAUGAUAAAUAUCACAAAUAUACUACUACAUCUGUCCAGGUUAGUGGUCCUUGUAUUUUGGGUCAUAUUCUGACCAUUAAUUUAACUAAUAAUUAUUAUUAUUAUGUGUAGCAAAAAUAAUAUUACUGAAAAUUACAUUCAAAUUAUAAUUCAAUAAUACAAUUUUUAGUGACAUGCAUUUAAUAUUUUGCUAGUCCAAUAUUCGGUCAAACUUUGUCCAAAAACAUGAAGAGGACUAAUAAACCCGGACGAAGGUAAUACUUAUACUAGUGCAAAAGAAAAACAAAGUAGCCGUCGAGAAAUUUCACAGUUUUAUAGUGGUCGAGAGGCUUUUAGAUCCCAAGAGAGAGAGAGAGCGCGCUAGAAAGAGUGCAUUUUGUACAACCAGGCCGGAACAGUGCCAGCAAGACAACCCGUACCCAACAACAGCCUAGCCCGGACAGCGUCGUUAUUAGGCUUUAAUUCGCUCUGUUCCACGUGGGCCUCCUCAGCUAAAGCGAACAGUGCAGCGAUAGCAAGUUAGCAACCUCCUCCAUCAUUGUUUUUUCUGUGUCCACAUCAACCUCCUCCUCUAGCAAGACAGUAGUUGUCAUCUCUUAAUGAAAUGAAAUAAGGACUCACUGUUUUUCGUCAAAAAAAAAACCCAGAUCACCAUUGCAAGCGCAUAUGUAAGAAAAAUGUAAUCCUAACGGCAUCCAGGUUUGUCGAGAUAAUGACAUGAGUUUAUAGUAAGUUUAGUAAAUUUAUACACUUUAUCGACAGAAGAAGCUCUCCGUUGGACGCCUAUUUUGCAGAAGAACAUGUUGCCUUGUUAAUGAAAAUAGUCAAUAAUGACUAUAGGAGUACAUAUUAUUUAUUGGCCGGCCGAAAGAUCGAGACCUUUGGACCAAGGAGUACAAUAAGAGUUCACAUGGUUGGUUCUCACAUGCAUGGGCCAUGUGGGUAGAUAUAAUUAAGAAGAACAACGAUCGAUUAGCCAACCACCUGCCGGCUUGAACAGGUGAAUAAUUUUUUAGUCACAGAAAAUAUUGUUGAUCUUUUUGCAAGGAGACACAUGCAAUCACGAUCCAAACACAUGAUAAAUAUCACAAAUAGACUACUACCUCUGUCCGGGUUUACUGGCCCCCCUCGUAUUUUGGGUCAUAUUUUAAACAUUAUUUUAACUAAUAAAAAUAAGAAUUGUAUACAGCAAAAAUAAUAUUACGGAAAAUUUACAUUCAAAUUAGAGUUCAAUAAUACAAUGUUUAGUGACAUGCAUUAACAUUUUGCUAGUCAAAUAUAUGGUCAAACUUUGAGUCAAAACAUGAAGAAAACUAAUAAACCCGGACGAAGGUAGUACUUAUACGGCUAGUCAUAGUGGAAGUAGCACAGAUAGUAGUAUGCAUGUCACAUAAGCAAAAAAAAAUAUGAUGUGAUACGUAAUUAAAGAGAAGAGAGACAAAUAGAGUAACAUAAUAUUUUACCAUCACUUAUGUAUUUUCAAUGCAAAACAAGUCUACAAAGUGAUGCAUGAUACUGCACAUAUGUUGCUACCUACUAUAACGGGGAACACUUGCCCUCAUACGUCUGAUGUUUUCUCUCCGUCAGACCAAACUUGUACCGUACAUUCGUUUUCCAUCAUAUGGCCAAAAACAUCUGCCUCUCUCUCCACUAAAUGCACGCAUUAAUCAAUAAUGGAAGCUGCCCCACCAACCCGGUAAUUAUGCACCCACGGUUAGGGAAAUCCAAACGGAUCCAUAAUUGAUCGCUCCACCGUUGUUCUGGCCACGCUCGGUGAUCCCUCCGAUCUGCGUGCCGCGGUAGCACAUUAGCCCAUCGUUGUGGUCCGCAGCGCCGACGUCCUCUCCUACAGGUGACCAUGAUGGCCUUAAUGGUGAGCACCAUGCCAAUCUAGGCAUGAUUUCCCUCCUCCGUCCUCAUCUUGCUGCAGCGCCUUUUCUAACCUAGCCGUCCGCGUAGCCCUUCAACAUCGACAUACCAAGGUGUCUGGGACCCUCGCUGUUAGAGUUGUGUCAAAUAUUGUGUACACGGUAGGUUACAGUUGAACUCUGAGUGGUAUUGUGUUUACAUAGGAUAUGGAGUCGUGUCCUAGUAGGACACUUGUAUCCUAGGCCUCUCAUAUGGGGGUAGACACACGGUGUAACCUAUGCCAACAUAAUAGCACAGGCAUGCAAGGGGGAGCCGGCGGCGUGUGCCGGCGCCCGAGUGGCCGGUGUGCGGUAUUGUAACGGUGUCACGGGGAGGAGCGCCCGUAGUCAGGCCCCGGGGAGGUAGCCAUAUCGGUGAACCUCGUUAACAAAUCUUGGUGUCGUGCUCGUGUGAUUGCUUGGUCCUCGGAUGAUCAACAGUAUGCCUCAGAUUUAUUCUAUCAAGUGGUAUCAGAGCAAGGUUCGAAGAGGUCGUUGUGCGUCAAUUUAGAAUUUAGAGGAAGAUCAACGUUGAGUUCGUCGUGGAGAUGACGUGGAAGUCUAUCUUGUACCACGGUCAAUUUAUACUAUGAGAUCUCGGCGGAGAUUGCAAGCAUCGCGACGGAAGGAUCGUUGUCGGCGGUGGCAACAGCAGGCUCGAGCGAGCAGUCAGUCAGGCACCUUGUCGAUCAGAUCGAUCUGGAGCGGCGAGGGGCGUUGUGCCGCAGAAGCACGAGGCGCGUGCUAUGGAGGCAGGAGGCCGAUGUUUGGCGCGUGGAUGCUGGAGAUCAGGGCCACGUGGGCCACCGUGGCUAGGUGCAAGUGCGUUGUUCGGCUGAAGAGGGCGUCAGGCGAGCGAUGCAGGCUGCAGAGGACAGAAGCGAUCGGACAGAGAUUUGUAUUUUGGAAAAAGGAGACCGAGUCUCUGUAGUACUAUAUGACACGUGUUGGAAGGGAGAGAGGGAUUUGGUGGAAUAGUUCAUUGUAUUGCUUGAGCCUCAUGGGCAUAUAUAUAGGAGUACAUGGUCAUCUUGGAGUACAAGUCAAGGCAGGAACAAAUCCUACGCUAUCCUAUGUUUCCUAAAUAAACAUUAUAAUCAACAUCCCCCCGCAGUCACAACGGUAGCGACGCAGAUGAUGAGACUAGAGAAGAAUCCGAAGGCAAGACGACGGACACCCCCCACAGUCGUAAUGGUCGAUGCAUCACGAAAGUCGUGGCUGGAGUGGAAAGCGACGAGGUUGCUCAAGCAAGGCGGUAGCCCUUUGUGCCGUUUGUCGAUGUAGCCGAGAGCGUGGGUGGUGGAGUCGUGGUCGAGGUAGCCAUGCGAAGAAUGCCGUGGUCGAUGUCGAGUCAGGGUGGCCGGUGUCGAGGAAGUCGCCGUGGAGCCGCGGGCGCAAGGGGGCACCGAGUUAGCAUGGGCGUAGUGGUGUCAAAGUACGGGUGCGCCGGGAAGAUGAUGUUCUUGACGACGCAUCGCGGCGGGUUUGCCAAGCCAAGGAACACAUCGUAGAUUAAGGCACGCACCGGUGUUGCCAGCAUCGGGCAUGCGUAGACGGACGAAGAAGAAGUUGACGAAGCGUCGCACCAGGCUUGCCAGGCCCGGGGACACGUCGUGGAUGAAGGCACGCAUCGGUGUUGCCAGCACCGGGCAUGCGUAUACGAGGGACCUGCAUGAGCUGUACGCCAUGUCGGAGAAGUCGGAGGGGGCCAGCAGAGAAGAACUCAAUGACAAUUGCGGCGUCCAUCGGCGCGGGGCCAAAGUCGCCCGCAGUUGUCGGAGUAGACGAAGUGCUCGGGGUAGAUGACGGCGACGCUGGCGACGGGCUGGUGCUGGACGAAGAUGAAGGGAGGUGGACGGGCGGCGGCGGCUACGGGGAUAGCAGCAGCGGCGGCCGAAGAAGAGCGGUGGCGGCGGCCUGACGGCGGUGGCGGCGCCUAAGUUAGGAGCGUGGCGGCGGUGCUCGAAGUAGGCGAGGAGAACCCAACAGCAUGACGAAGAUCGGCGCGGACGGUGGCGUUCCCGCGCCAAGGGAGGCAGCGCGACGCAUACCACAGGAAGUCGACGCGCAACGACGAUGGUAGACCGCGGGCCGCGGUGCUACGGCCCGAAGGAGCGACGCAGCGGCGGCGGGCAGGUCAAGGCAACGGCGGAAGACCUCGGGGCGGCGGCAGAGACCGCGGGCCGUGGCGCGACAGCCCGAAGGGGCGGCGCGGCGGAGAAGCACGGGUCGGUGCAACCGCGGGGACGGCCUCGGGACGGCGGCGUGGACCGCGUGCCACGCUCGCUACGGCCCGACGGGGCGACGCAGCGGCGGCGCGAGGGUCGGUGCUGCCACGGGGACGACCUGGAGCGGACGGCCUCCGGGCGGCGGUGGACCACGGGCCGCGGCCCUACGGCCCGAAGGGGCGACACAGCGGUGACGCGGGUCGGUGCAGCCGGGAGAAGAACCACGGGGCGGCGGCACUGCGGCCCGACGGGGCGACACAGCGGCAGCCCGUUGCUCGAUCCGUAGAGGGGGCGCACCGAACUCGGGACGGUCUUCACGGGGCCUGCGGAGGCGCGCGCCACUGACGGGCCAGGUCGGUCGCACGGCGUAGAUGAGGCAGAUCGCGGCGGCGGGCGGGUGAUCAAUCCGAUCGCGCGCAAGGUCGGGCGCCGCUCGGUGGAGAUGGCGUGGCGGCGGAGUCCGAGAUGAAGCCGGCGACAGCGGGCGGCUGGGCGGCUAUGAUUGGCCGCCGCAUGGCGCGAGGCCGCUGGGUCGGGGUGAUGCAGGAGUCCCGGUCGGAGCAGGGUGGUGACGGCCGGCGUAGAUCGACGGGCGGGCCAGCGUGCGAACGGUGGCUGUGAAGGGCCACCGCAUGACGCGAGGCUGCGGGUCGGGGCGACCGGCGGGCAGACGCGCGAGGCCGGCGGGUCGGGGCGACCGGCGGGGAGACGCGUGGACGACGCGCUGGGCCGCCGGGUCGGUGAAGAAGCCGGCCGAUCGCGCCGGGGUUGGAGUAUAGGCGCACGGGUUCGACGGCGGCGGUGGGCGAUGCAAACCGAUCAAGAUUAGAUCGGAAAACCAAAAAGAAACCGCCGAUCAAGAUGACCGGCAGGAGAGAGAAAACCCCGGAGCAAGGGUUCGGAGAAAAGACUCUCUAGGGCAGCCGGUCAAGACGAUCGGCGGACGAACCCUUGGUACGGGCGGCGCGGCCCCCGGCGGCGGUCAUGCAGGCCGACCGCCCCAGGGGCGGCGCGCGGGUGUGGAAGCGGCGGCGGCUAGGGUUUAGAACCCGGAAACUGAUACCAUGUUGGAAGGGAGAGAGGAUUUGGUGAAAUAGUUCAUUGUAUUGCUUGAACCUAAUGGGCAUAUAUAUAGGAGUACGUGGUCAUCUUGUAGUACAAGUCAAGACAGGAACAAAUCCUACGCUAUCUAUGUUUCCUAAAUAAACAUUAUAAUCAACAACACGGAUAGGCAGGCAAGUCAGCGUAAGUGGAAUAAAAAUCCAUCAAGCCAUCAGGAACAGGUUUGACACAAAGGGCAGCACUAGCUUUGGGAAGUUGAGCCAAGACCGGAGCUUCACGUGAAGACCAGAAGUUCUUUUUGUUCUUUGGUUGAUUUGCUAUUAGUGCACGAGGGUGUACCACGUCAGGUUUGCUUGUGUACUUGGGCAUCAUGUGAGGAGAGCUUGAAUAAUUUUUUCACUGGGUCAGUCAUACGAAAAACCAUGGCGCCAAUGGGUACCAGGUUUGAGGUGGAGAAGUUCAACGGGACAGAAAACCUUGGGUUAUGACAGACAAGGAUGGAAAAUUGGUUGGCACAACAUGGAUGCUUGAAGGCGCUGCGGGAAGUCAUGUCAGUUAAGAUGGAAUUAUCAUGUGAUGGAUGAAAAUUCACGGAAGACGAUUUGUGAGCCUCGAGCAUGUCGUACAGUCGAACGAGUUCGGCUGGGUCGGACUAGGCAGUCUGACGGAUCGACGUAAGUCAGUUGGUACAGAAGACAGUGGUGGGAUCGGCGACAACGACAUAGGAGCGUGAUGCUGAUGGUGACCGACUUCUGGGGCAUGGAAACACAUGGCGGAGGCAUGAGGGCUUGUGUGGCUUCGACAAGACUAUGGCGUGGGGUUGAUUCAAGAUGGCGUACACAUGUGAGCUUGAAGUCGACGGGACGCAAGGGUGGACUGAUCAUCUACCAUGGAGUCAUGUUGAAGGUGGAGCUGGAGUCUGGAAGACUUCACUCGGUGCUGAUUGAGGGGCUACGGCGUAAGAGCUCAGAGAGUCGAAGCCUAUUUCAGCGGGAAAAGCGAGUGACAUGCAGUUUGGACUGGAGCCCAGUGGUCUGAUGGAAGCAUGAAACUCGUCAUCGGUCGGUGAUGAUAGGUGGUACUCUGCAGUGGGGGUUGAGUGGUGUGGGUUCGCGGCCCUUGAGACUCGACCGGGACAGCGAAGGCUCGAUGCGGUAAUAGCGGCGAGGCGUGCGGUAUGCACGGGACAUGGAGAUGGGUCAGGGCUCUGGUGGUCAUACAUGUGGUGAGACGACUGCGAAUUUGACUCGGGGUGACUACAAGCAACAGUGAAAUUCUUUCAAGUUUCAGACAGACGGUCAAGGAAGAGCGGUGAUGUUGAGUUCAGGUAACUCUUAUGUGUAACACCCAAUAUGUGAGUUGUUCACUUUCACGCAGAUCAGUGAUCGGUGUGUGAUGGCGUUGGACUGAUACUCUGGAAGUUGGGAGCGCAAACUAGAGUAAUGUGGAACUUAAUUUUGAUCGAGUGUUGACUGUGGUCAAGAAAAGAAGGGACUACAAGUUGCAGGUGGAGUCAUAUGGAAUCUUUGGAGUAGCAGCGGUUCUCAUGAGAUAAUCUCAAGUCCAAUGUACAUGAAAGUUUGACGCAUUGACAAAUUCAGGGUGGUGGAGAAUAUUCGCCAAGGUGGAGUUUGUUAGGGUUGUGUCGAAUACUGUGUACACGGUAGGUUACAGUUGGACUCUGAGUAGUAUUGUGUUUACAUAGGAUAUGGAGUCGUGUCCUAGUAGGACACUUGUAUCCUAAACCUCUCAUAUAUAGAGGGGGUAGACACACAUUGUAACCUAUGCCAACAUAAUAGCACAGGCACGAAAGGGGGAGCCGGCGGCGUGUGCCGGUGCCCGGGUGUCCGGUGUGCGGUAUUGUGACGGUGUCACGGGGAGGAGCGCCCAUAGUCAGACCCUGGGGAUGUAGCAAUAUCAAUGAACCUCGUUAACAAAUCUCGAUAUCGUGCUCGUGUGAUUGCUUGGUUCUUGGAUGAUCACCGGUAUGCCUCGGAUUUAUUCUAAUACUCGCCGACGUCGCAGAGGAGUUCGAUGUCACUGGUGUCCGGCUCCGGCGUCCCUAGUUCGCAACGACGAAAGGACCAUGUAUCGCUAGUCCAUACGACGUGCUACGUGCAUGCCCUACUUUUGCAUCUUAUGUUUGUAUAGGUGUGUUCAGCUUUGCUUUGUCUCCAUGCUUUGUAUGUUGCUUCCUAAUUUCCCACAUAUUAUGGAGAAGAUGCGGCCCCUUCAUGAUCUGGUUUUGAAUGAGUACCUAUAAAUAUUUUGUUAUUCCCACUUUUAAAAAUCUAUGCUUCCACUUGGCAGAUUAUGUUGGAUUGCAUAACAUGAUGCUUCCAAAAUUUCAUGCUCCAUACGCUUAGUUUGCUUCAUAAGCACCAUGGUUGUGUUUCUUCAAUAGUUUCCUUCGUAUGUUUGAGGCUUGUGCCUAUACUGGCCAGUUUACUUCAUUUUCAUUGUUCAUGUUGUUUUGUAGGCGUUCUAUUUGUAGUCAAAUCAAACAAUUCAUGCCUCCUAAAUUUCUCCAAUGCUGACGGGAGUGGAAGAAAAUGCUUUGCCGCGGCGAGCAUGGAGUGGUAGUCAUUGGUGGGCACGACGUGUGGAAAGAAGUUGAGCAUCUCAGUGGAUAUUGUACUCUUCAUCAGCUUGGGAGCAAACUUUGUAAUUGUUACGUUGCACAUUUUGGAGCAAACUUUGUAAUCAACCAUCGGCUUUGGAGGCACAUGGGCUUUUUUUUUGUAGUAGACGUAAUUGUUACGUCGCACAUAUAUGUUGCACCAUCUUCUAAAUUUUGUAUCCAACAUAUGUCUAUUUUUUCUUCCUACCCACAAAGAUGAAGCUUCGGUUACAGAAUAACCAAGCGAUGGAGGUUUUACAGAACAUUUAUGCUUCCUACACAGUUAAACAAAGUUUCGGUUAGACACUAAUCAUGCUUCUAACAAUAGCAUGCUAUGCUUCCUAUGUAUCCAAAUAAAUUAUGCUUCUCUUACACAUUAAGCAGGCAUGCUUCCACCAUUGCUGCCCAAUGCUUCAAGUGUUCAGAGAUUACAUGUGUAUAACCCAACGUUUCACUUUAGACGUCCUAGUUUCAACAACAGAUUUUUGGAGCAUCUUUAUUUUGAAGCAUUUUUUUGAAUAAUAUGUUUUCCAUCAAAUGCGCUUCCAUGGAUAAAAAUAUUGUUUCCAUACCACUUUACGUUGCAAAAAAAUCUACAUAAACGAAUAAUUUUCCUUAUUUGUUUAUGGAAGCUAAUCCCUAAUUAGCAGGAAGCAUUAUUUUCUGUAUUUGUUCGGGAAGCAAUCAUGAUUUACCAAAAGAACUAACGCAAUUUCUAGGAAGCAAUUAGUAACUAGACGGACAAAAUUAGGCAGGAUGGAGAGGUCAGCUGGAGGACAUGCUAUAUACGUGGGACUGGUCAAAGCAGUUAAUUAGGAGGGAGAAAACUCAGCGACUAACCAUCGUACAUCAGAUCGGACGGAUAGCAUGAUGUUAAUCCUACGGCCAUCCACUGGUCUGAUGGGAAGUAAGGGAUCAGUAGUCUGAUCCCUAGCGUUUCCUAAAAACAAAGUAGCCAUGGAGUAAUUUCACGGUUUUAUAGUGGUUGAGAGGCUUUUGGAUCCCGAGAGAGAGAGUGUGUGUUUCGUCCAACCCAGGCGGAACAGUGUCAGGACGACAACCCGUACCCAACAACAGCCUACAGCGUCGUUAUUAGGCUUUAAUUUGCUCUGUUCCACGUGGGCCUCCUCAGUUAAAGCGAAUAGUGCAGCGAUAGCAAGUUAGCAACCUCCUCCAUCAUUAUUUUUCCUGUGUCCACAUCAUCUCUCGUGAAGUUUUGGCCCUUGCUCUUGAUUUAUCUCUUACUAGAGUUGUCAUCGCUUGUGACUGCAAGAUAGUAGCUGAAGAAAUAAAAGGUGCAACGGUAGGAAGCUCUAGUGCAAUUAUCAAGGAGAUUUCAGAGCGAUCAAAGAAAUUCAUAAGCUGCGAGUUCAUCUUUGAAGGUCCUAAUUUAAAUUUUGAUGCUCACAACUUAGCUAAAUAACUUGCUAAUAAUUCUACUAAAAGACUUAGGCUGCGAGACAGACAGCCUGAUCAUGAAUACAUGAGGCGACGAAACAGAGAGAAAAGACUUGUGAACCAAGAUACCUAUGUGCUGUGGUCUUAUCUGGGCGGAAAGAAUUAGUAGAACCAUCAUCGCAACUACGCAUCGUCUGUCAGCCAAAGGAUAUGAAAGUGCGGAUGGUCUCGGUACAAGCUCGCACGGCAUCAAUUCCUGGUUCCUGGCUUUUUUGGAUGCCCAGCACCAUCUUCUUCAUGCAGCCCAUUCACGAAACAGAGUGUGUCCGUUCUAACAUCAGCCAGGACACAGAAAUAGUCAUCUGCUGUCCUGAAGCAUCGGGAGAGUAACUAGCUAGCAAUAAUCAUCUGCUACUGCAAAAUUUAUUGAAGAUUGGUAACAUCAAAGUUUAACAACAGCAAUGACGGAGUCCUGAAUUAAGGGGUCCUCAGGCGUCCGGUCUAUUUGAUAUGGGCCGGACUGAUGGGUCAUGAAGAUAAAGGAAAUAGACCACCUCCCGUGUCCAGAUAGGACUCAUAUAUGCGUGAACGGCAAGAUUAGUGUCCGGAUAUGCUAUUACCUUUCCCUGUAAACCGACUCUGACUUUGUACAACCCUAGGGCCCUCCGAUGUCUAUAUAAACCGAAGGGUUUAGUCCGCAGGGGGUCAUAAUAUCAUAGGCUAGACAAGUUAGGGUUUAGCCAUUACGAUCUCGAGGUAGAUCAACUCUUGUAACCCCUAUACUCGUCGAAUACAAUAAAGCAGGACGUAGGGUUUUACCUCUUUUAAGAGGGCCCGAACCUGGGUAAACACUGUGUCCCUUUGUCCAUUGUUACCAUUGAUCCUCAGACGCAUAGCUUGGGCCCCACUACCCGAGAUCUGCCGAAUUUGACACCGACAUUGGUGUUUUCAUUGAGAGCUCUGCUGUGUUGUCAACAGAAGGAUCGAUGGCGCGCCUCUUCAUCAACGAUGAUGCUGUGUCCAGGAAGACUUUUCUCCCCGGACAGGUCUUUGUGUUCGGCGGCUUCAUGCUACGUGCCGACUCGACUGGCCACCUUGAGCAGGUCGACAGUUACGCCCCCGGUCACCAGAUCAGCUUUGGAAACUUGAAUUACGUCGCUGAUAUCCGAGGAGAUCUGAUCUUGGAGGGGUUCGCGGCCCCGACUGCCGCUCCCUGCCCUCACAAAGAAGGCCCUUCAGAUCCGCUAUCAGAUCCCGUCCGAAGAUGAGAGGGUCGACCCUGUCGGACUCUCUCCUAUCAUGGAGCUCUCAACCGGAGACCCAGAUGCGAUCGCGCCGUUGGUAAACCCGGAGUCACUCCAUGCACUUUUCGAAAAACCUUCAAAUGAACCCAAUUUUUUUUAUAGUGUUCUACCAUCAUGACAAGUUUCGUGGCUUUUUGCCACUUUAUGAAUUUUCUACAAUUUUUCCGGUGAAAAAACCAUAUAGCACUCCUUGGACGUGACGCAACAUGCUUUUGGUGUCCAAAUACGUUCAAUUUUUGGAUUGAGUGUGGGGGUGCGCAUACCAACUCACUUGCAAAAUUUGAGGCCAUUCUGAAGAUGGCAAAAAAUUGACCUCGUUCUUCAGAGACCGUUCGGGUAGGAGUGAAGGCCUCGUACGAAAGGAGUUUUCUUCGACAACCUUCAAAUGAACCUAAAUUUUUUUCAUAGUGUUCUACCAUCAUGACUAGUAUGCAUGACAAGUUUUGUGGCUUUUUGCCACUUUAUGAAUUUUCUACAAUUUUUCCGGUGGAAAUACCAUAUAGCACUCCCCGGACGUGACACAACAUGCNNNNNNNNNNNNNNNNNNNNNNNNNNNNNNNNNNNNNNNNNNNNNNNNNNNNNNNNNNNNNNNNNNNNNNNNNNNNNNNNNNNNNNNNNNNNNNNNNNNNNNNNNNNNNNNNNNNNNNNNNNNNNNNNNNNNNNNNNNNNNNNNNNNNNNNNNNNNNNNNNNNNNNNNNNNNNNNNNNNNNNNNNNNNNNNNNNNNNNNNNNNNNNNNNNNNNNNNNNNNNNNNNNNNNNNNNNNNNNNNNNNNNNNNNNNNNNNNNNNNNNNNNNNNNNNNNNNNNNNNNNNNNNNNNNNNNNNNNNNNNNNNNNNNNNNNNNNNNNNNNNNNNNNNNNNNNNNNNNNNNNNNNNNNNNNNNNNNNNNNNNNNNNNNNNNNNNNNNNNNNNNNNNNNNNNNNNNNNNNNNNNNNNNNNNNNNNNNNNNNNNUCUACCAUCAUGACUAGUAUGCAUGACAAGUUUUGUGGCUUUUUGCCACUUUGUGAAUUUUCUACAAUUUUUCGGUGAAAAUACCAUAUAGCACUCCCUGGACGUGACGCAAGAUGCUUUUGGUGUCCAAAUAUGUUCAAUUUUUAGAUUGAGUGUGGGGGUGGGCAUACCAACUCACUUGCAAAAAUUGAGGCCAUUCUGAAGAUGGCAAAAAAUUGACCUCAUUCUCCGGAGACCGUUCAGGAGGAGUGAAGGUCCCGUCCGAAAGGAGUUUUUUUUCGACAACCUUCAAAUGAACCCAAUUUUUUUUCAUUAUGUUCUACCAUCAUGACUAGUAUGCAUGAUAAGUUUCGUUGCUUUUUACCACUUUAUGAAUUUUCUACAAUUUUUCUGGUGAAAAUACCAUAUAGCACUCCCCAAACGUGGCGUAACAUGCUUUUCGUGUCCAAAUACGUUUAAUUUUUGGAUUGAGUGUGGGGGUGGGCAUACCAACUCACUUGCAAACUUUGAGGCCAUUCUGAAGAUGGCAAAAAAUUGACCUCGUUCUCCGGAGACUGUACGAGUAGGACCGAAGGCCCCUUCCGAAAGGACUUUUUUUUCGACAUCCUUAAAAUGAACCCAAAUAUUUUUCAUAGUGUCCUGCCAACAUGACUCGUAUGCAUGACAAGUUUCGUGGCUUUUUGCCACUCUAUGUAUUUUCUACAAUUUUUGCGGUGAAAACACAAUAAAGCAUUCCCCGGACGUGACGCAACUUGUUUUUGGUUUCGAAAUACAUUCAAUUCUUGGAUAGAGUGUGGGGGUGGGCAUACCAACUCAGUUGCAAAAAUUUAGGCCAUUACAAAGAUGUCAAAGAAUUGACCUCGUUCUGUGGAGACCGUUCGGGUAGCGAAGGCCCCGUCCGAAAGGACUUUUUAAUCGGUGACAAGUUUCGUUGCUUUUUGCUACUCUAUGAAUAUCCACGAUUUUUCCGGUGAAAAUUGAGGUCAUUCAAAAAAUUUCACAUCGUUUACCGAACCGGCCGUUUUGUCUCAGUUUUAUUUUACCACUUGUCGUCUCGUAAUGUUCAAAUGCAUGUAUUUUUGUUUUUUUAAGCUUUAUUGCACGACUAAUAUCAAAUUAAACAUAAGGAUAUAUUUUUUCCAGAUAAACCAUUCCGAGUUCAUUCAUAUUUGAAGAUAUUUUACAUAACUUAGAACAAAAUUUAAAUCUAAACCUAAAACUAAACUACUCCUCGUCGCUGGCGCUGGUGAGGUCAACGACCGGCGCCGUACCUCCGGCACCUCCUUCGCCGCCGUCGCUGAAGUCGUCGUCCCACCAGUUGUCGCCCUCCUGCGCCUGCUGCGCCUGCACCGCCGAUAAGGCCACCUGCCGGUCCCUCUCCUCGUGCGUCGCCGCCACCGCCGCAUCGUCUGCCGACUGGGCUAGCGCCGCAAGUAGCCCCGGCAUGUCGUCGGGGUCGCCGUCUUGCGCGAGGGCGGCCUGCUCCGGCGGGAUCGGGACCAGCGCCGGGGCAGGGGACGCCUGCUGUGGGGCACUUGUGCCGGGAGCGGGUGGGCCGUGGCGGCCGCCGCCUUCCUGAACGCUUCCAGGACAAUAUCGAAGUCUUUGCCGCGCCAAAAGCUGCGGCGCGGCAGCCGACAGGUCGCGUCAGCGGCCGGCCCGAGGCGGAAGGCGGGCGGCAGGCGCGGCAUCGGUGGCGUUUGAAGGCGGGCGGGCCGGUCGCGGCAGCGGCGGCAGCCAAGCAGUCGCGUCAUUGGCCGGCCAUGAUAAGCCCAACUGAAGGGUGGGGCGGUUGGGAUGGUUGUCUGCUGCACAGCUAAUUGCAGCCUCCGCUUGGUCAUAUGCUUGUUGGGUGACGGACCCAUCGGUGAAUUCGCUGAAGUAAACAUGGAGAUCCUGGAGAGAAGGGAGAUUCUCCAAGCCCAAGCUAUCACGGAGAGAUGGGAGGAUUGCCAAACCCAAGCUAAAAGAAAAUGUAAGGCUUUGUACCUUGGGCAUUGCUCCUGGUGCGAACAUAUUUCCUCCCGUGGGAAGUAUCCCCAACUUACACUCCUGCAGGCACUGGAAAGUAUCAGCACUGAUCACCGGCCACUGUUUCCUUUCUUCAUCCCAGAUAUUCUUGUAGCAACUCAGCCGGAGGGAUUGAAGAACUGGAAAGGAACCAAGUAUGUCAAGAUCCUUCUGCCGCAGGUGGCCCAACCCGAUCUCUAUCAUGGAGAGCUCCCGAAGAUUUGACGGGUUAAUCCACGAUGGCAGAUAGGAGAACUUCCCAAAUGGUGAAACAAACCUACGGCGAUUCCGAGGAGGGGGCAUCCAUCCUUCCCCUAAGAAAUCCAAACAAGCACUUUCCUCAUCCAAACGGUAAGGGGCGUGCACAAUUAAACUCUGCAAAUUCUCCAGGUGAACUAGAGACUCCGAAAUCCAACCCUUGAAGCUCUCAUCAGGCAUACCUUCCAACGAGAAAGUAAGAACCCUCAGUUUAGUCAAAUGCCUUAGCUCUUUUGCAAUGUGCGGAGACUUGGAUAAGCUGAUAGAUAACAACACUUGCAAAGCCUCCAGUUUGCUGAUAACACCUGGCCUGAAUUUGUUUUUGGAGCGACCACCAACACUUAAGAAUAUCAGAUGUUUUAGCUGCCCAAUUUGGAUCGGCAAUAAGAGCUCACUGGGGUAUAUAUCUCCCAACGCAAGAUAUCUCAACUGGCAUAAACUCCCGAGAUGCUCAAGUAAUUUAUGGCGUUGCUCCUGAAGAUAGCAGUCCUCCAAAUCCAAUACACGUAAUUGAGGGGAAAAAGAAAGGGGUGACAUUUUGUCAACCCCCGACACAGUAAGUGACCUCAUGUGGGACAAUAUCAAUCUCCCCUGAGGCAUCUCAACAUCCUGGAGUUGCAGAAAUAACCUGCGGACCUUGCUUGUUAUCGCAGCUGAUUUGGCCUUCUUAUCAUGCAAUACAGUACAAAAGUUUUCUUCAAUAGAAAUGGAGCUGAUAAAUUCCAGAACCAAGUCAUGCACACGGCAAUCCGUUGUCCUGACAUACCUAUAGGAGUCCACCGCUUGGAUCAAUCCUCUGUUUAUGAGCUCCGUGAGGUAGCUCUCACCAAGCUCAAAUAAGUCCUCAUCUUGUACCCCAUUAACAAAACCUUCACAUAUCCACCUCCAUAUCAAUCUGCUUCCUUGAAUAAUGUAGUCUUCAGGAAAUAUACUUAGAUACAACAAGCAAGUUUUUAGGUGGAUAGGUAGAUGGCGAUAGCUAAGGGCCAAUAUAUUUCUCAUCGUCUUCACAUCAGGACUAUUGUCAAGUCCCGAACCGAUAGAAUCACACAACUUGUUCCACUCCCUUUUAUUCCCUUCCCGACUGGCCAAUAAACCAGCAAUGGUGAUGAUAGCCAAUGGCACACCGCCACAUUUCUUCAGGAGAGUUUCAGAUACUUCGACCAAAUCAUCUGGACAGUCAUUAUUAAUACCAAAAAUUCUUCCAAAGAAUAAUAUUUUGGAUGUCUCAUCAGGGAGGGGUUUAAGCUCAUAAGCGCCACCAACUUUACGUGCAACGUCGCGAUCACGGGUUGUUGUGAUUACUCUAUUCUCAUAAUGAUUAUCAGCUAGAGCACAUCGGAUCACUUCCCAAUGUUUUAUGUCCCAUAUGUCAUCUAUGACAAUAAGAUACCUGCCCAUAUUGUAACGCAAGAUUUCACACAUUAGUAAAUAGUGCUAAACUGAAAUGUGGAAAACCAUUUCAACACCAACUACUAAACAUUGCAAGUAGAUUCCUAAAUUUGGAGCAGAAUAAUUCAUGCAUUAGUAAUACUAAUAAUUCAUGCAUUAGUAAUACUAGUAAACUUAUAUGACAUAAAUUUAAGUACAACUCUUCCCCCGUUUCAAACAAUAAGAAGGUCUAGCUUUGUAAUGAGUCAAACUUCAUUAAGUUUCAUCAAAUUGAUACAAAGUGUACCAACAUCUUCAACAACUAGUUACUUUCGUUGAAUCCUCUAUGAAAUAUAUAUUUUAUAAUAUACUUGUUUGCUAUUAAAGAAUAUUGCUAUAAACUAUUCCAAACUUAAAAGGUUGACUUAGGACAAAGCUAAUACAUUUUGUAGUCUUGAACGAAGCGUGACCAUGUUGAAGUUAGGUCUUGCAUAAAAGGAUGUAUAUAUAUGGGGUAUGGGCUAUGGCACACCCCGUAUGCCUCGUCCAUAACAACAAAGUGUACCUAAAUAUGUGUUACACAUAAAUAGUACACAUUACUCUAGAAAAACAUAAAUAGUAGAUAUGUGUUACUCCCUCCAAUCCCAUAGAAGGGCGCUAAAUUUCU
Molecule: long non-coding RNA, 22381 nt
Filed under: Triticum aestivum (bread wheat)
Lineage: Eukaryota; Viridiplantae; Streptophyta; Magnoliopsida; Poales; Poaceae
Description: long non-coding RNA (TAES_LNC013863)
Source: RNAcentral